This 355-nucleotide ribosomal RNA is filed under the name uncultured Glomus. RNAcentral describes it as "SSU rRNA". It matches the Rfam family "Eukaryotic small subunit ribosomal RNA", at positions 569 to 929 of the family's 1831-position model. The record is from RNAcentral. Lineage: Eukaryota; Fungi; Glomeromycota; Glomeromycetes; Glomerales; Glomeraceae.
AGCAGCCGCGGUAAUUCCAGCUCCAAUAGCGUAUAUUAAAGUUGUUGCAGUUAAAAAGCUCGUAGUUGAAUUUCGGGAUCAAUCUAUCGGUCGUGCAAUAGUACGUACUGAUUUUAUUGAUUCCUCCCUUCUGAUGAACUAUGAUGUCAUUAAUUUGGUGUCAUAGGGAAUCAGGACUGUUACUUUGAAAAAAUUAGAGUGUUUAAAGCAGGCUCACGCUUGAAUACAUUAGCAUGGAAUAACGAAAUAGGACGUUUGAUUCUAUUUUGUUGGUUUCUAGGAUCGACGUAAUGAUUAAUAGGGAUAGUUGGGGGCAUUAGUAUUCAAUUGUCAGAGGUGAAAUUCUUGGAUUUAU